RNAcentral lists this long non-coding RNA (496 nucleotides) under Ictidomys tridecemlineatus (thirteen-lined ground squirrel). Its description in RNAcentral is "lncRNA (ENSSTOG00000030873.1)". The record is from RNAcentral. Lineage: Eukaryota; Metazoa; Chordata; Mammalia; Rodentia; Sciuridae.
GGGUGCAGGUGCUUGAGAAGGGCGUCUCCAGAUGGGCCUCCUGGCACAGUCCAGAGUUUCUGUUCACACAGGACAGUUGUGGGGGUGGUUGGGCUUAAGCUCCAUCAGCAGGAGAAUCCUGGACCAUCCUCUGCCUCGCUGAGCCUACGCUGUCCCACUGCAGGACCUGAGAUCGUUCCCAAGCCUGCCUGAGGGUCAUCCUGAAAUGCGGGAAGUGAUGGAGACAAACCAUUGGAUGGUAAAGGCUUCUGGGCUCUGCAGACGCACAGCCUGCAGGAGGUGGAACCUGAUCUCAGAAAGCACCUUGUGCCGCUGUGCAGGUGUCUGGGUGCAGUGUCGCCUGCUACCAGCCCUGGAUCUGCUUCUGCCUCUGCAGAUGGGCCCUCUGGGGACACGGACUGUGAAUGGAACGACACACAGGUCCCUUCUUCCCUUAUUGGAUGACCGCGAUGAUACCAGGAUAAAAAGUAGCCAGGCUGGAUUCCUCACCAUCUAG